Labrus bergylta (ballan wrasse) is the source of this 2924-nucleotide non-coding RNA. Lineage: Eukaryota; Metazoa; Chordata; Actinopteri; Labriformes; Labridae. The record is from RefSeq and is a predicted model, not a curated record.
CGUCAAGCAAGACCUCCUUCACCAAAGGCAGGGUUUCGAUCCUGAGGACUAAGUACGCCAUCUCCUGGGGCAAAUCCUCCGUAUCCUGGAGCAGAACAACCAUAACUUUAGGCAACACCGGCUUAGCGGUGGGCAAAACCUCUGUUACACGCGGGGAGACCACGAGCUGUCUCACCACUCUGACCUUUACCCAUGGGACCAAGUCUGUGUCCGUGUUCAAAACCACCCUCACCAGGGGCAAAGAAACCCACAGCAACAUCUACUGGGAUUUUCAUACCUGAUUCCUGCACACACUUACUAACCAAAGGAUAUUUCAGUCCGGUCAGUUUAAGCAGUCUUGGCAUAAGCAGCAGGAUCAGAUGACACAGGCGGACUCCUCACUGGCUGCAGCAUUGUGUAACACCAGCCAGUGCUGUAUUUUUCAUCCUGGGCUGUCAGGGGAUCAUUCUGUCCUGUACUGGAUCAGCAUAAAAAGUCAAGAAAAAGAAUGCCAUGAGUUUUGAUGAAUUUGAAGAUGAGAAUGAAGAUUUGGGUUCAAUUUAAAGAGACUAAAAGGAGUGAAAAUGCUAUUGCAGCAUGAUGUGUAUCCCUUGCUCACUCUAAGGCCCCCUCUGUGGAGUGUUCAGGCAAAGUGUUUUAUGGUCAGCGGAGGUGUAGAGGGAUAGGUGUGCAAGAUGUAGAAAGGCUGUUGGGCUGAGAAGUAAUGAGAGGGUAAAUCAGACAUUUGAAGUUGACAGGGGGGGGGAAUUCACCGAAUGCCAUGAAGAAAUUGCUACUGAGAGCAUACGUAAGGGAGAUUCCAAAAUGCUACGUCAAACCACUGAAACUUCUGUUGUACUCAAUUGUGUUGGUAAAGAAAAAAGAAAGGUGCAGCUUUAGAAAUCAAGGUAAAGCUGCAUGCUGGAAAACACUUAUUCCACAUACAAAAGUUCUAAUAAACUGAGAGAACUAUGAAACUGGUACCUCUCACUAGCAGAGAAAAGAAUGAGCCUCCCACUUGCAGAAGCAUGUGCAUGAAAUAUUUAGUUUACUAUGGCACAGAAGAUUUCAUUUUCUACUCUCAAGCCACACCCGGGAAGAGCUCAAACCUUUGCCAAGAUGCACCAUAGCCCUGAUUCUCCCUCCUCUCUUUCCCUGUUCCUUUUGUUUACUGGCAGCAGCUGGAGGGAUAAACACCUCAGAUCAGAUCUUGUCAAGUCUCACUCAUCUAUCUAUGUUUUCUUAGGUUCACCGUGUCCACGGCAAAACUGCUCCUCAAGUCAUGGACGACAGCAUGAGAGCUCUAAGCCAGACUCAAUCAACAAAAGAGUCCAUUUUAGACUAAAUGGAAAGAAAUUGGCUUUUUGACUAUUGAUCUUCAACAUUUUGUCAAAUUCAGCUCAGGCAGACAAACUGGAGGUGCAGGAAAAACCUGACUGACUGCAGAAAGCCUCAGUCCUGCUAUUAUAAGAUCAAACCUGUUGCUAGUGGAAACAGCACAAAGAUACAGUAAAUCACAAUGACACUGCAGUCACCGUGGACAUGUUAAAUAUCCUCCAGUCUCUCCAACGCCAUUAUGAUAAUGUUCCUUUAGGUUUCUGCUACUGUAAGGUCAAAAAAAUGCAGCUUAAAUCAUGUGUGUUUCAUGCAUUAUACCUGAUGUCAAUUCUGAUAUAAGGGUUCAAUUCUGAUAUAAGGGGGGAAACAUACGGCAGGUUAUGGGCCUGUGGAAGCAUCAGAAAUGACCCUUCUCAGAGAGAUUUUGCUGCAACUUUUGACCUGACAACAGAAGUCUCUUUUAUUAUUUUCUUUGUGGUUAUAAUUGGACCUUUAAAUCUUGUUUUCACUGUAUCAUGGCCCUUGUUUUGUAACAUCCUUAAGUCCCUGACCAAAAACUCAUGCAGAAACUGUUCUUCGGGCAGGUUCAAAUAUUUGAUCAGGUUUUCCUUUAUUGUACACAAAUGUCUAUUGCUGUACAUAUGUGUUUCUAAUUGAAAUUAUAUUAAGUAUGACACCAGAAACAAGCCAAUGAAACAUUGAAAGGACAUUUGUAAGUUUCUGUGCCUGAUACUGGUGACCCACAUAAAACCAGAUCAUGUAAAUGUUGUAUGUCUUUACCCUUAAACUGACUCGGAAUAGUCCCACAAAAAGACUUAACUUCAUCCAAUGAAUUGGUGGGAAAUGUAAAUGUUAAUCUGUGUGUGCAGGUUGAAUUUAAAAAAAGGUAUCAUUUGACAGUGAGGGAAUACAGGUCAGACUAUAUAUACACACAUGUAUUAAGAGAAAAUAAAGGUUUGGUCAGGUGUACUAACACAGCACUAAAAUCAGCUUAGCUACUUUAGCCAGGCCGUGUGUCUCAGCAGCAGGACGCAGCGUGAAUCCUGCAUCCUGCACCAACAUGAAGUCCAGUCUGCUUUUAUGCUCAGCCAGAGGCCUGCUGCUGAUUCAGGAUCUCUCUCCAAUGAGAUUGUACGAACACACAACAACCUUUGACUACUUGAAUCAGCUCUGAGCAGAAUGGUAUCAAAGAGAAGAAAACAAUGAGGUCAGACAGCAACACCGCCACGCCUGGAAGAAGUUGCCCUCAAACUGAACCUUAUCAAAGUCAUGUUGUUCCUUAGAAAAUGGAAAGAAACUGUUUAGUAAGCAUUACUGACCCGAAGCUUUUUGAUAUUCAUUUCUGUCUCGUUCUGUGUGUUUGUCGUCUAAUACUUAAAUGAUUAAAUUGGUUUUUAGCACAGUCAGUACAAACUGAAAAACAACAGUCUCUUUGUGCUUUUUCUAAUCUUUCUCUGUGAUGUAAGUCCCUGUGAAACUUUUUUUUUUUUUUUGCAGGCAUGCUGUGUGUAAUGUUGUGUGUUUUGCCAUACUGCAUGUGCCACUUAAAUGCAGACAGAACCUUGGACAGAAAGGUACUGGAAUAAAAAGGCUUAAUUGUGUGUUUA